RNAcentral lists this ribosomal RNA (279 nucleotides) under uncultured bacterium. RNAcentral describes it as "partial 16S ribosomal RNA". It matches the Rfam family "Bacterial small subunit ribosomal RNA", at positions 506 to 784 of the family's 1533-position model. The record is from RNAcentral.
UGCCAGCAGCCGCGGUAAUACGGAGGGUGCAAGCGUUAUCCGGAAUCACUGGGUUUAAAGGGUGCGUAGGCUGUUUGUUAAGUCAGAAGUGAAAUCCCGUCGCUCAACGACGGUCGUGCUUUUGAAACUGACAGACUUGAGUUAGGUGGAGGUGGGCGGAAUGAGUCAUGUAGCGGUGAAAUGCAUAGAUAUGACUUAGAACACCAAAUGCGAAGGCAGCUCACUAUACCUCAACUGACGCUGAGUCACGAAAGCAUGGGUAGCGAAGAGGAUUAGAUA